GAUCACAAGCAAGUGGUGCCUUUGUCAAAGCACACUGGGCAGGUACGGUCAUCAAUGGAUUUACAACAUGAGUUAUUAGAUAAGAAUAGAAACAUGGAUUUGACUUGGUUUGAUGAAAAAUUCGAAAUCUAUAAUGGGUUUUCAGAGAAAAGCAAAAAUUAUGGGUGUGGUUCUUUAGAGAAAGAUAGGAUGUGGGUGAUGAC
This is a long non-coding RNA of Telopea speciosissima, 203 nucleotides long. RefSeq lists it as uncharacterized. The record is from RefSeq and is a predicted model, not a curated record. NCBI's taxonomy places the organism in Eukaryota, Viridiplantae, Streptophyta, Magnoliopsida, Proteales, Proteaceae. The transcript is spliced from 3 exons.